This 253-nucleotide ribosomal RNA is filed under the name uncultured bacterium. RNAcentral describes it as "partial 16S ribosomal RNA". It matches the Rfam family "Bacterial small subunit ribosomal RNA", at positions 524 to 776 of the family's 1533-position model. The record is from RNAcentral.
UACGAAGGGGGCUAGCGUUGUUCGGAAUUACUGGGCGUAAAGCGCGCGCAGGCGGCUAUCCAAGUCAGUGGUGAAAGCCCGGAGCUCAACUCCGGAACUGCCAUUGAAACUGUUUAGCUUGAGGAUGAGAGAGGUGAGUGGAAUUCCCAGUGUAGAGGUGAAAUUCGUAGAUAUUGGGAAGAACACCGGUGGCGAAGGCGGCUCACUGGCUCAUUACUGACGCUCAGGCGCGAUAGCGUGGGGACCAAACAGG